CCAUAAAUUUCUUUACUCUGACUUACUCUUGAAACUGGCCAACUAUUUUUACCUCUCAACACUUGAAAUGUUUAUUGCUUUAAGGAUCUUUAUAUUUUGUCUUUUGAUUCAACUUUUACAUUCAUUUCGUACACCAAAACACAAUUUAUUAGCUUAUUUCAAAUCACGAGACAGUGUUUUCUUGACGAACCCCAAUAAUCACACAACAUCUUAUGGUAUUUAUGUUGCAGGUAGAAUCACAACUAUUGAUGUACCAAAAAGCCUUGCCAAUCUGUCUACCAUUAUCAAUUGGAAAGUGGUCAAUGUCAAUAGAGAUUUAUUAAUGUUUGUCCAUGAUAAAAAACCUCGAAUGCUCGUUCAACAAAAGAAAAUUGAAGACAUGAAAUAUUCUGGUCAAUUGAAUGGUUCAAUAAUAUCUCUUGGUGAUAAUGAAGCUCUUCACGUUGCAACAAUAUUCAAUUCCAAUUUAACCAAACCAAGUGCUACAUGGAACUAUCUUGAAUUGUUGCAUUUUGAUGUUUAUAGUGGCCGAGUGACGAUUACUGAUUCCUUGAAAUGGUUUAAAGAUGAUGAUUGGAAAUUCAUUGUUGAAUGGAAGUUGGCAGAUUUUAUUCAUAUGGACGAUAAAUUGUACCUUUUAAUACAGCGAAGCAUCUUUAGAAAUGCAACCUCAAAUACUACAAACGAAAUGUCGAUAAUAAGAUUGUGUCUCGAUAAAGGAAAUGAAUUUAUUUCAAGUGCAGUUGAGAUUCAUUAUACUAAACCAGAAUUUCAUAAUAACACAAUAACGGAUGCAACUCUUGUUUUCAUAACACAACCCAAUAACAACUUAAUUGAGUCAAUCCAACCAUCGGAACGGUAUUCAAUGGUGAUACAACUUCAAGCUCCUGAUGGUAACUUUACGUAUGUUCGUUAUUAUAUCAAUAAUUUCAUUUCGUUGUUUGACCAAGCUGGGCAAGAAUGUGCUUCUGGCUCUUCUGCUGUAAAUUUAUUUGGAUACCAUUUAAGAUCAGAGGUCGGUAAAUGUGAAAAAACGGCUUAUAAAAGUUGUACUCGAAACAAAAAUACUUUUCCUUCAGUCCGUUACAAUGGAGAUUCAGCCAUGGUGUGGGAUUCACCUUUCACCAACACUCAACCUGUUGAUUCAAUUCCAACUAUAAAUUCAUUUUCCAUUCCGUAUCCAAUUUAUGAUGACUCUGUAGACAUCCAAGUCAAGUCCAUAGCUAAAUGUAUUAAAUGUGUAUUGGCACUCAGAAAUGGUCCACCUGACUGUUCCAUUUCUGGACAGGAAUUUGAUUUCAAUUUUCACCAGCAUGCAUACAUUAAUCAUCUACCGCCGGGUGAAUUAUACGUUUCUGAAUCAACCGAUCAGUCUAUCUUCUUCGACCUUGUGCCAUGUUACAAAUUUAAAAGCUGCAUCCCUUGUAUCAUGUAUGGUCUCAAUUUUGGUUGUGUUUGGUCCAAUUCAGAAUGUACCUAUGAUGGACAACCUAAAAGUGCAAAAUCACAGAUGUUCAAUCUGUGCGUUAAAAUUGUCUCGAUUUCACCUUUGGUAUUCAACAAUACUUCACCAGAAACUUUAGUCGUUCAACUUGACAAGUCACUGGAUUUAACAAAUUCACAAGAAUCUCUAGCCAUCAAAGCUGGUUUCUUCAAUUAUUGUACCAACUUUACUAUGGACAAGACUUUCAUUUAUUGUUCUUUGAAGAUAGUUGCUUCGGGUGAAUUCAGAAUUCAUCUAAACAUUGAAAAUGGUAGAUAUGCAGAUGCUAGUAUUGUUUCAGCUUUAUCUGAGGAAAUAGUUACUGUUAAUUUCGUUGAAAUUGAACAAGCUGAUUCGUUUCCAAUACUCAUUGCAUUAUUUUUAAGCUCUUUAUUUAGUUCAUUACUAGUGAUAAUCUAUCAUAAAUGUGAUAUGGAACAGUUUAAAAGUUAUUUUUUCACGAAAAAAUCAAAGUUACUGCAGCUAACAAGAAAGUUUCCAAAAACCAAAAGUGAAAAACAAAUUAAAGUAUUAAUAAAAAAGUUUAUUCCAAGGAAAAAUAAAAGUUUUGGAGGCAAUUUUUCAACACACUUCAGCUGAUAAGUUUUCCAGUAAACUGAUCAAAUCUUGGUUCACCUAUUCAAACAUGUAGAGUAAUUAUAUUGGCAAAAAAUCCACCAUCAACAUGUUCUCACUGGUCUCAGGUCCAUUGAUUGAAAGGAGCUUUUCCAUAAAAAUGCUGAAAAUUAAGUUAAUCAUCAAACCAACAUCUCAAACUAUGUCAAUAUCUCUUGGAUCAUUCAAUAUCACUAAUCGAACCUAAUAACGUACUGGAAUUGAACCAUUGAAAGAGACUUAUAAUUUGGACCAUCAUUGCCAAAUUUUCUGAACAUUAUCACGAAUCCCAAAACCACUAGCACGUGUAUAUCUUUUCCACUAGAUUCGUUUGAUUAACUCAUCUAGUAGAUGACAUCUACUAGAUUAAGCAUCAGCACCCAUACUGAGUAAAAUCAAUUUAAUUUGAUAAUAGCUAUAAUGGUGCUAAAAUUCUGAUAAUCUGAAUGAUAUUAAUGAUUAUUGAGCACUGAUAGGAUUUUUACCGCCGUGAUGGUCCAAUCCUAGAAGGAUAUUGAUGAAGAUAAAUGAGAUCAGCUGAAUGAUAUGAAAUAUUGUUCAACCUUUUUAAUUAUCAAGUAUUUGGAAUCCAUUCUUUUAAUUAUCUAUCUCAUCUAUGAACCAUAUAUGAAUCUAUCUGCCAUUGUUUAUCACAGAACCCCUACCGCAUAUUAAUUAGAGCUUUUGUUAUAUAAAGACAAAUUAGCUGUAUGAGAAUUAACCAGUUCAAUUUGAAUCAAUUACCAGUGAUAAACAAACAACAAACAAACAUCCAAUUCCAAAAUGAAACUUAUUCUCGUUAUUGCCGUCUGUUUAAUCGGUGCCUCACACCAAUUCAUAUUGGAUGGUGGAUGGGGAUCCGUUGAUGCCAACAGUGAAACCAUCAAAGAUCUUGCUCAAGUCGCCACUGAACACCGAAACAGCCAAAUCAACUCUCUUUACUACCGAACCCUUGUCGAGAUUAAAUCUGCUAAGCAACAAGUCGUCAAUGGUAUGAAAUACGAACUCACUUUGGUCCUCGCCGAUACCAACUGCGCCAAACAAGAUGCUGGUGCCAAACUCUGUCCAGUUGGACAAGGCGCUGCCAAAGAAGAGUGUGUUUACACCAUUUGGAUCGAAUCAACAAAGGAAACUCCAGAAGUCACUUCUAGCUCAUGUACCGACCUUUAAACAAACUGGAAUUCAAUCAAAUUAACAGAAGUCAUUCACCUUAUGAACAAUUUUAUAUUACUUUGCCUUAAAAAUAAAUCAAUCAACAAUAAAUCAUAGCAAUAAUUAAAUAACGAA
Molecule: non-coding RNA, 3385 nt
Organism: Tetranychus urticae (two-spotted spider mite)
Lineage: Eukaryota; Metazoa; Arthropoda; Arachnida; Trombidiformes; Tetranychidae
Source: RefSeq, a predicted model, not a curated record